UUCAAAGUGUGAUCGAGGUGACCUCCCCUCCAGGACUUUGUAAAAGAUAGUUCAAAAAUCAAGACUUUAUGUUCUAUAUUCCAUAUAUUUAUAGUAGAAGGUGAUUGAGACUUUUUACUGGAGUUUACUGUGGAUUAUCCCUGCAUUCUGAGGCAAGAGAUAACAACUUCAUGAAUUGUAAAAUCAUGCUGCUAAAACUCCACUUCUAUGACUUUCCAUAUUGGGUUCCCCAGAUGUUGUAAACCUCGUUCUUAUCAAAUGUUUUCAAUUGUUUAUAUCAUCCAUGAUUCCCCUUUAUGCAAUGUCACCCACCUUUAUGGAUUCUCCUUUAUUUCCUUGAAAUCUAUCUAUCUGCCUAUAUGUAUUUGUACUCUUUGGGAUCCCCGGAAAAUAUGUAUUCUUCCCAGCAGGGUUUAUGUUCCAACUUUAUUUUAAUUUUCAUUCUAUCCCAUAUAAUUGUCAAAUCAUGAAAUCAAAUGGGAAAUAUUAUGACCCCAACGUGAACUCUAGCCCUAUGACCCAGACCUCCCUUCCCAAAAACAAAAGGAUAAUCUGCCACCGUUUAAUCCAAUCUCAUUCCGAUCGCAUGGACAAUAUAGGGUUUGAGUCACCAAAAUUCCUAAAGGUGACUCGCCCCCAAGGCAAACAUUGUCAUAUCCCAGGCCAGGACGCCUCAGGAAGGCACCCCUGUGGAGCCCGUCAAUGACGGCUCAUCACCACCCUUCUUUACUUCCCGUCUGACACCCCAAAGGCAUAUCUAAGAUCUGUGAACGUGACAGGACCCGGACAUCCUUGAUGGGUGCCAUUAAUUCCUUUAGAAAUCGGCUGGGCCAGAAUUAAUCUGAUAUUUCCUGUCCUGUCACCUCAUUGUUUCAAUAGCUCCCGCCUCCUCCUCUCUGAUUGGCCCAGGUGGGGACAAAAAGUGGCUCCCCAUUGGGCCAGCAGAGCAAGGCGGGAAACGAAAGCCCGCCUCGUUCAACCUCCCAGCCUAUCCGCGAUCAGAUGGGCGGGGAAGCGGGGCGGGAAAUUCAAAGGGCUGUCAGACCGAAACAUUGUAUAAAUAUGGCUUUAUUUGAAACAUAUGUUACGCUAGUAGAUUGAAUGAUCGCUAUUAGCGUCCUUUUCAGCUGAAUUGCUCAAUAAAGACUCCUUGGCGGAUUUUCCUUCAUCUUUGGCGGACCUUCUUCAUUUCAGGCUUCAGGUUGUAUUGCGGCUUAUAUUCUCCUUUUGGCUUCGCCAAGGUCCGUUCCCUCAGGACCGGGUCGGGUCUCUCCUAAAGGGCCCGAUCCCCUAAAGUGCGGUCGACAACAUAAUUUGGCUUUACCACGAAGGGACUUGCUUGGAAGUUCCAAAAAUCAAUUUUUUUAGGCUAAAAUUCCAAGCGGCGACCUUGGUCCAGAUAUUCUGGAACAGGUUGGGGAGAGAAACGGCUGCAAGGAGGGCCCUCCGACCAACAAUUUGACCUCAUUUCACAUCCAAAUUUCUCUGGCAGUCCCUUUCUCUCUCUAGAUCUGAUUCAGGGUACUGAACAAAGGAGCCAGAUAGGAGGAAGCAGAUUUUUAGCUCCUCGAAGGAAAGGCGCCAACGUGAAACAGGGGACGCCCUGGAAAAAAUAAAAGGGAACCGGCCCCGUUGUUAAGACCCAGGUGGGCGGAGCUCUGGAGGUAUUGCACUUCGGAUCAGGGCUCGGUAACAAAUUCCUGGUGAAACGCGGGAACAUCUGGCACCCGGUGGCGUGUGAGAACAGUCUGGCUUGUAAGAUUACAGGUUCAAGGAUCGUGGGGUAGGGGAACGAUUGUGUUCUCAGGGCACCUGCGGAUUCCACGAACGCCAGCCAUUCAGCCUUGGUGUAGGGAAACUCUUGAAAGGACGAGUUGCAUCCGGCCGGUGGGUGAGUCGUUACUCCAUUAACUGUCAGGUACUGGGCAGGGGCUGAGCCAAGGAUGGGUGUUUGUUCAGCACAUCUAGGGUGUCCCACCCCAGUAGACAUCCCCAGGGAUUCUCCAUUGGGCAAGAUCCUGGCCAAUUGGGGUGGGCUUUGCAUCGAAAAACAUGGUGCAGGCCAGGUUGGGCUAACUCAGAGCACAUAAGUGGCCCCUUGUGGCCCUUGAAGGGGGAACAGCUUGCCCCCCCCCCCCCGCUCGAGUCGCCGAAUUCGGAGUGUUGACCUAAGGUGACUCGCCAUGGGGAGGGCAGGUGGUUCCAGCUUGCUUAUGCUGCGAUGUUCAUGGCCUUAAGCCAGAGGGAGAGUGGAAGGGGAGAGGGGGUCCAAGUCUUCCCAUGCAGGGACGUGGGCUCCAAACCUACCCUCCUCAGAAGCUCCUCUCUAGACCUACUUCCCCUUACCCCCUCCUCCAGAGGAUUUUCUGGACACAUUUGCUUGCCCUCUCCCCCAAUCCCUAUCCCUACUUUUUCUCCUCACCCUGAGUCCUACACGGAUCCAGGACUCCCAAAUUGGCCUUCCAAGGGAACCCUUACUUCAGGGAUCCCCCCCCCCAAGAAAUUCCCCUCCAGAGAGUUCAGCCCAGUCUAACGUGAAGGAGGGCUCCCAGCCCCCUCCCCUCUCACCCCGAAACACACCUGAUCCAAAACACUGUUCCUCUUCUCAAGUCACACUCUCUCAGCCCCCAUCCCAGCCGUUCCUUUGAAGCCUGAUGCCCCCCCCCCAAAUUGUAUCUGCCCCUGCCACUCAACUCCUGCCACAUUCUGAGUUUUCCUCAGAUGGGAAGAAUCGCCCCACCAUCCCCCUCCUUCUCUUGCCCCCACCAGGCUCUCUCUCUCUCUCUCUCUCUCUCUCUCUCUCUCUCUCUGCGCUCAUUCCUCUCUUGGAGAGAGAGGAGAAGGAGGGGCCGCAGGGAGAUUGUGCAAAGAGGACACUUUUUUCCUCUUCCUGUUUUUGGAGGGGCAAAGGGGGGAGAAGAUUCAGUCCUGAAGCCUGCCACCAAGAUCUAUAGUUCUCCAAGGAUUGCUUCCUUCUUUCAAAUCAAAUCUUCUCCAACUUGAUAUUCUGCCUUGCCUACCCUCAAAUUGUACCCUUUUUUUCUUUUCUCUCUCUCUCUCUUCCCUGGCCUGAGUGAAAAUCUCUCUCUCUCCCUCAAAUCUCAAAUCCAUUUCUCCUCUCCUUCCUCUCUUCUCACCUUUUAAAAUCCCUUAUUUCCCUUUGUUCCCAUUUUCUAGACACUAUCCCUAAGAUUUUACCUCAGUGUUGUCUUAUAUUUUCUUUGGUCCUUACAAAAGGGGGGAGGGGGGCCAUUCCUUUAGCCGCUUCUGUUUCUUAAUUUCCCCUUUUUCUUUCUUUCCCAUCUGGGAAGCAUGGCAAAGGAUUUGGGUGGGGGAGGGGGACUCCCAGAAAAGUGUUGAUUAAAUUUUGUGUGUUUAUGUAAUGUGUGGGCUGUAAACUCUUCUCUACUCAUCCCGUUGCCUUAAAAGCCACCAGUGAUAUAUAGUUUUCUGGGAAGGAGGGCUGGAAUGGACUAGCUUAGUGCUAUGCUCUCUCUCUCUCCCUUUUCUUCUGUGCCAUCUCACCUCCCUAUUUUCAAAGGUUCAAGCCCUAAUAUUUUGUGAGACCCCCCCCCCCCCCAGAGAAAACCUGCUGCUUCUGUGGUUUUAACUUUUUCUUGUCUCUCUCUCCUCAAGCCUCCCUUAUCUUAGAGAGAAAAGGGGGGGGAUGGAAGAAUUGAUGUAUUUUUCUAUAUGUGAGUUUUUUUUCUCUCUCUCUCUCUCUUCCACUUCAUGUUUUCCUAGGCCAAAAUGCACUUCAACAUUCUCCUUUUUCAAAGCUCCCCCCCCCCUUCCUUCCCAGCAUCCCCAUUUCUCCUUAUAAACAUUCAGUCAAAAUCCUGGUUUACUUUUAUAGUAAAGGCACUCUUUCACUCUCCACAGUUCCCCAACAAUCUCCUUUCUUCCUUUCGGGUCCUUCUCCCUCCUUUUCCCUGAGUGCAUGCGUGUGAAUGUUUUAAAAAUCCCUCUAACUGCCUUUAAUUAUGAGGGGGGGCAGUACAGAGUCCAGGGGACCUUCCAGGCACAGCUGAAGAGAUCCAGAGGACCGGACCCAACCACCUGACUGAGGACAUCAGACCAGACUGCAAGACCCAUAAUCCAUACCUGCCACCAUGAACAGUUCUAAGACCUGGGUAGGGGCUCUCGGAGUGCGCUGUGGAUUUCAUGCAGCAGCUAGAACCCAGAGGCCAUUGGAGAUGGUCCUGUGAGGGUAAGCCCGGACCCCCAGUCACCCAGAAGAGACAGCCCCACCUGUGGCUGAUCUGAGACCCCUACGGGGGAAGCAGCCCCAUCUGCCUGGCUCAGGGGCUAGAGACUAAGACACUGCUGAAAGGAUUCUUGCACAUGGCAGGCUUUUAUGGCCAGACCACCGUAUGGUGCCCUCCAGCUGGCCUGGUUCUGCCCUGGCAAAGGGCUACUGAGUGCAGGUCUGCCUUUGACGCUGCCAAGGAGGCCCUCAUGACAUCACCAGGGGACAGAAUUGGCCGCCAUGGCAGAAGAUGUCCCAGAAGAAAUGAACAGGAUUCUACCAGUGACCACCAUGAGGGAAGGAUGUUCCACUUUCACCAGAGCUGUGCCAAAGAAGGACCCCAGGACUGCUGGAGCCCUCACAAGGUAUGAGUGACUUCCCUGACUAACCCCACCACGGGAGGGAGGGGGGGGGCUUAUAAUCUGUCCUUAGUUUCCCUAGGCACUCUCUCCUUUCCGUCUCCUCUGUUGGAGUGCUGGACCUGCCUGCAGUCACCAGGAGGCGCCGUGCUGUGAGGCGCAGAAGCUGUGCCCAGUUGCCCCCAGCUGCCAACUACAAAGGGGGGCCCAAGCUGCAGCCAAGAAAAGGCAGCCAAAUGGGAGUACUGCAUCACAGCCUCCAUCAUCCCCAGCCCUCACCACCUCCACCUUCAUGCUCCAUUUCCCAUGACUCCAGACCAAGGGACAUCUGUUUCAACACCAUGGGAUCACCCACCACUGACUGAACCUCAGCUUUCACCUCUUCAAGCUCCUGCCCUCCAACAAAAAGGCACAAUCUGAUCUACCAAGGCAGAGGCCCUGCAUGCAGUAAAAUGUCGGGGCUUUGGGAAAUGUUCAUAGCCAUUUCCAAGCCCCGAAGGGGGGAAAAUGUGAUCGAGGUGACCUCCCCUCCAGGACUUUGUAAAAGAUAGUUCAAAAAUCAAGACUUUAUGUUCUAUAUUCCAUAUAUUUAUAGUAGAAGGUGAUUGAGACUUUUUACUGGAGUUUACUGUGGAUUAUCCCUGCAUUCUGAGGCAAGAGAUAACAACUUCAUGAAUUGUAAAAUCAUGCUGCUAAAACUCCACUUCUAUGACUUUCCAUAUUGGGUUCCCCAGAUGUUGUAAACCUCGUUCUUAUCAAAUGUUUUCAAUUGUUUAUAUCAUCCAUGAUUCCCCUUUAUGCAAUGUCACCCACCUUUAUGGAUUCUCCUUUAUUUCCUUGAAAUCUAUCUAUCUGCCUAUA
Anolis carolinensis (green anole) is the source of this 5469-nucleotide long non-coding RNA. RefSeq lists it as uncharacterized. The transcript is spliced from 2 exons. The record is from RefSeq and is a predicted model, not a curated record. NCBI's taxonomy places the organism in Eukaryota, Metazoa, Chordata, Lepidosauria, Squamata, Anolidae.